CGCUGGCGGCAGGCCUAAUACAUGCAAGUCGAACGGCAGCACAGCAGAGCUUGCUCUGUGGGUGGCGAGUGGCGGACGGGUGAGGAAUACGUGGGAAUCUGCCCAGUCGUGGGGGAUAACGUAGGGAAACUUACGCUAAUACCGCAUGCGCCCUUCGGGGGAAAGCCGGGGACCUUCGGGCCUGGCGCGAUUGGAUGAGCCCACGUCGGAUUAGCUAGUUGGCGGGGUAAAGGCCCACCAAGGCGACGAUCCGUAGCUGGUCUGAGAGGAUGAUCAGCCACACUGGAACUGAGACACGGCCCAGACUCCUACGGGAGGCAGCAGUAGGGAAUAUUGGACAAUGGGCGCAAGCCUGAUCCAGCCAUGCCGCGUGAGUGAAGAAGGCCCUCGGGUUGUAAAGCUCUUUUGUCCGGAAAGAAAAGCGCCGGGUUAAUACCCUGGUGUCCUGACGGUACCGGAAGAAUAAGCACCGGCUAACUUCGUG
RNAcentral lists this ribosomal RNA (484 nucleotides) under uncultured bacterium. RNAcentral describes it as "bacterial SSU rRNA". It matches the Rfam family "Bacterial small subunit ribosomal RNA", at positions 34 to 507 of the family's 1533-position model. The record is from RNAcentral.